AAACAACCCGAAACAGUAACAACAAAGAUAAAAAAUGAUCUUUGUUGGUUACAAGAGAUAUAAACCGAAACACCACAGAAAAAUAAAUGAAGAACACAACAAAAUUUGAUUUCGGAGUUCCCCUUGAAAUCAAGAGUACAUCUCCGUCAAGCUUCCCUCAAAGACGCUUGAUUCUUCACUAUCAAAGUCCAAACCGAUUACAAGGAUGAGAGAUUCCUAGCCACAAAGUUCAGUAGGUUGAUUACAAAACAAACAAGGGCUGCCUUGUAUUUUUCCUCUGCUGGCCGAAAUGGUCUCUUGCUCAAAGUGGAAGGUUGAACCACUUAUUUAUAAUGUUGUUGUUGUUGUUGUGUUUGUUUCUGAUCUGAGAAAGUUUGUUGUAAUCUGUUGAGAUAUUUUCCCUUGAAUAGCUGAAAGUUGUUAGAGUCUUGAGAUA
This is a long non-coding RNA of Cannabis sativa, 436 nucleotides long. RefSeq lists it as uncharacterized. NCBI's taxonomy places the organism in Eukaryota, Viridiplantae, Streptophyta, Magnoliopsida, Rosales, Cannabaceae. The record is from RefSeq and is a predicted model, not a curated record. The transcript has 2 exons.